This is a long non-coding RNA of Gallus gallus (chicken), 2637 nucleotides long. Lineage: Eukaryota; Metazoa; Chordata; Aves; Galliformes; Phasianidae. The record is from Ensembl.
UCCAACCUCUAUAAUUCUGUGCUGCCUGAACAAGAGUCUCUAUGGCUAUCCAGAAUGUGGCUUAUCUUGACUGCCACUGUCAUCACUGCUGAAACCCACAAGCCACUCCCUCACUAUGCUCACCGGUUGAUCUCCAUAAAUGCUCAGCAAGUGUCAAUGAAUGUCAAUGUCUACUAUUUUUUCCACAUGGAGGAAUUCAGAUCCACAGCUUUGCUUCAUAUGCAUAUUCAUGUCAGACACGGUUGUGUCAGACUGUCCCUCUGCUGCCACCUGUCACAUGGCAACAACAUAGAAUGGAAUGUUCACAGAAUCACAGAAUUGUGGGUUUUGGUACGGACCUCAAGAGACCAUCGAGUCCAGUCUCCCUUCAGGUACUCUACAAUAGAUUGCAUAGGUAGGCUUCCAGACGGGUCUUGAAUUCUCCAGAGAAGACUUCAUAACCUCUCUGGGUAACCUGUUCCAGUGUUCCAUCAUCCUUACCAUAUAGAAUUUCUUAUGCAUGUUUAUAUGGAACUGUUCAAAUUUUGGGCCUCUACUGUCUACUAUCCCUUCAUCCAGUUCACAGAUGAAUAUGCUGAACAAGACCAGACCCAGCAGUGACCCCUAUGGAACACUGCUAGUUACAGGCCUCCAACCAGACAGUGCCACUGAUGACAACCCUCUGAGUUCUGUGAGUCAGCCAGUUUUCAAUCCACCUUGCCAUCUGUCCUAUACUGUGUAAGUUUCGUAACAUAUGGAUGUUGUAGCAGAUGGUGUCAAAUGCCUUGCUGAAGUCAAAGUACACAACAUCCACUGCUCUAUUUCCAUCUACCCAGCCAGUGAUGACAUCAUAGAAGGCUACCAGGUUGGUUAAGAUUUCCCCUUGGUGAAUCCAUGUUCACUACUCCUGAUAACCUUCUUUCAAUUGUUUGGUAAUGGCAUCCAGAGCAAGCUGUUUCAUCACCUUUCCAGGGAUGGAGUUGAGGCUCACUGGCCUAUAGUUUCCUGGAUCUUCUUUCUUGCCCUUUUUGAUGACUGAAGUGACGCUGGCUAUCCUCCAGUCUUCAGGCACAUUUCCCAUUUGCCAAGAACUUUCAAAGAUGAUAGAGAGCAGUUCAGCAGUCAUCUCUGCCAGUUCUCAGCACACAUAGUGUAUCCUAUUUAGGUCCAUGGAUUUGUUUGCAUUGAUUUUGGCAAGAUGCUCUCUGACUGGAUCCUCCUCGACCAAUGGGAAGUCUUCCUUUACCCAGAGUUUCUCUCACACCUCCAGGGUGUGGGAUUCCUGAGCGCUAGUCUUAGUAUUAAAGGCUGUGGCAAAAAAGGCAUUCAGAUUCUCUGCCUUCUCAGCAUCCCCUGGUAUCAAGGAACCCACCUGAUUUAGGAGGGGCCCCACAUUUUCCCUAGUUUUCCUUUUGCUGUUGAUAUACUUUAGAAAACCUAUUUCUUGUUAUCCUUAACCUCCUUCACAAGGUUUAGUUCCAAGACAGAACUAAACGUCCUUAGUCUUCUUCAUUGCAUCCCUUCAGGCCCUGGAAAUAUUCCUAUAUUCUUUCCAGGUAGACAGAUCCUUUUUCCACAUUUCAUGGACCUUCUUCUUUUCUUUUAGUUUAUCCACGAGCUCCUUGCUCAUCCAUGCAAGCCUCUUGCCACCUUUCCCUGAUUUCUUACUCCUAGGAAUGCACUGAUCUUGAGCUCGGAAGAAGUGGAAUUUAAGGGCCAACCAGUUCUCAUGGGCCUCCUUAUCUUCUAAUGCUCCAGCCCAUGGAAUACCUCCAAGUAAGUUUUUGAAGAGGUCAGUGUUGGCUCUCCUGAAGUUCGGGUUAGCAAUCCUACUUAUUGCUUUUCUUCUUCCACAAAUGAUACUGAAUGGCACCAUCUCAUGAUCUCUGCAUCCCAAGAUGCUUCCAGCCUUUACAUGCCUGACUAGCCCAUCCUUAUUAAUAAGAACAAGGUCAAAUAGCACACCCCUCCUCAUCAGCUCCUCCGGCAUCUGUAUGAGAUAGUUAUCAUCAAUGCACUGUAGAUAGCACAUAGCAAAGUUCAACCCUUGGUGGGAACAUUCAACCUCUAUCGCUAUACCACCAACAUCCAUUUCUGACAUUGAGGGCCAACAUCAUAAUGUAGGAGGCAUUACUUUUGGAGCAGCCCUCACAUAUUAUUUUGCUUUCCUUACUGACACAAAUAUGUAUUUUUAUUAGAAAAUAGUAACAGCAAAAGGGAAAUGUCAUUUGCAAUGAAUAUCCUGCUUGAAAUAAAUUAAUGGAGAGGAAGAUAGAAAAGGAGAGGAACAUUUUCCCUUACAAUGUUGAAUUAGGAGCUGUGAGUGAUUACUGUCAAGUUGUGUUCAACCUAAGUUUUCUAUUUCCAAUUCCUUUAAAUAAUGGAAAUAUAUAAAACAACACACACCCCCUAGAGUCCUUAUUAGUCUGUAGAUUGUUCUAUUUUAGUGUUGUUUUUAAAACCAACAGCUUUGAAUCAUUGUAUUAAUUCAGCAAUCUCCUAAUUUCCAAAAUGCCACAUGUGGGAAUUUCCUUCUUCAUAUAUGCUUACAGAAGUGAGCUUGAAUUAGUCUCCUGUUAAACAGCUAAUGCUUUAAAGGAUCCUUGUUUCUUGAUUAUUUUUCAGCUUUUAAUUUAAAUAAAGGCAUAAUUCCACAAA